UCCCAGACUCCUACGGGAGGCAGCAGUGAGGAAUAUUGGUCAAUGGCCGAGAGGCUGAACCAGCCAAGUCGCGUGAGGGAUGACGGCCCUACGGGUUGUAAACCUCUUUUGUCGGGGAGCAAAGAGAGUCACGUGUGGCUCAUUGAGAGUACCCGAAGAAAAAGCAUCGGCUAACUCCGUGCCAGCAGCCGCGGUAAUACGGAGGAUGCGAGCGUUAUCCGGAUUUAUUGGGUUUAAAGGGUGCGCAGGCGGAGGUGCAAGUCAGUGGUCAAAUUGCGGGGCUCAACCCCGUACUGCCGUUGAAACUGCAUCCCUUGAGUGCGCGAGAAGUAUGCGGAAUGCGUGGUGUAGCGGUGAAAUGCAUAGAUAUCGCGCAGAACUCCGAUCGCGAAGGCAAGUGUCCGGGGUGCAACUGACGCUGAGGCUCGAAAGUGCGGGUAUCAAACAGGAUUAGAUACCCGUGUACG
RNAcentral lists this ribosomal RNA (467 nucleotides) under uncultured bacterium. RNAcentral describes it as "bacterial SSU rRNA". It matches the Rfam family "Bacterial small subunit ribosomal RNA", at positions 329 to 793 of the family's 1533-position model. The record is from RNAcentral.